AGAGUUUGAUCCUGGCUCAGAACGAACGCUGGCGGCAGGCCUAACACAUGCAAGUCGAGCGCUGUAGUAAUACAGAGCGGCGCACGGGUGAGUAACACGUGGGAACGUGCCCUUUGGUUCGGAAUAACUCAGGGAAACUUGAGCUAAUACCGGAUGAGCCCUAACGGGGAAAGAUUUAUCGCCGAAGGAGCGGCCCGCGUUGGAUUAGCUAGUUGGUGGGGUAAAAGCCUACCAAGGCGACGAUCCAUAGCUGGUUUGAGAGAACGACCAGCCACACUGGGACUGAGACACGGCCCAGACUCCUACGGGAGGCAGCAGUGGGGAAUCUUGGACAAUGGGGGAAACCCUGAUCCAGCCAUGCCGCGUGAGUGAUGAAGGCCCUAGGGUUGUAAAACUCUUUCGGCGGGGACGAUAAUGACG
RNAcentral lists this ribosomal RNA (420 nucleotides) under uncultured Alphaproteobacteria bacterium. RNAcentral describes it as "bacterial SSU rRNA". It matches the Rfam family "Bacterial small subunit ribosomal RNA", at positions 8 to 456 of the family's 1533-position model. The record is from RNAcentral. Lineage: Bacteria; Pseudomonadati; Pseudomonadota; Alphaproteobacteria.